GUGCUCACUUUGACAGCACAUAUACUAAAACUGGAAUAAUACAGAGAAGAUUAAAAUGGUCCCUGCCCAAGAAUGACAUGCAAAUUCAUAGUUUUUGACAGUUUUCU
Molecule: small nuclear RNA, 107 nt
Organism: Microtus ochrogaster (prairie vole)
Lineage: Eukaryota; Metazoa; Chordata; Mammalia; Rodentia; Cricetidae
Source: Ensembl